CCUACGGGUGGCUGCAGUGGGGAAUAUUGGACAAUGGGGGCAACCCUGAUCCAGCCAUGCCGCGUGUGUGAAGAAGGCCCUCGGGUUGUAAAGCACUUUCAGUGAGGAAGAACGCCUGGUGGUUAAUACCCAUCAGGAAAGACAUCACUCACAGAAGAAGCACCGGCUAACUCCGUGCCAGCAGCCGCGGUAAUACGGAGGGUGCGAGCGUUAAUCGGAAUUACUGGGCGUAAAGCGCGCGUAGGUGGCUUGAUAAGCCGGUUGUGAAAGCCCCGGGCUCAACCUGGGAACGGCAUCCGGAACUGUCAAGCUAGGGUGCAGGAGGGGAAGGUAGAAUUCCCGGUGUAGCGGUGAAAUGCGUAGAGAUCGGGAGGAAUACCAGUGGCGAAGGCGGCCUUCUGGACUGACACUGACACUGAGGUGCGAAAGCGUGGGUAGCAAACAGGAUUAGAUACCCUUGUAGUC
This 465-nucleotide ribosomal RNA is filed under the name Vreelandella stevensii. Its description in RNAcentral is "partial 16S ribosomal RNA". It matches the Rfam family "Bacterial small subunit ribosomal RNA", at positions 338 to 795 of the family's 1533-position model. Lineage: Bacteria; Pseudomonadati; Pseudomonadota; Gammaproteobacteria; Oceanospirillales; Halomonadaceae. The record is from RNAcentral.